CGGGCACGGGCGGGCAGGCAGACACAGACAGACACACGGGCGGACACAGACAGACAUGGGCGGACAGAGACAGACAGACACAGGUGGACCCAGACACGGACACACGUAGACAGACAGACACAGAUAGACAGGGGCAGACACAGACAGACAGACCCAGGUAGGCAGACAGACACACACAGAGAGACAGGAGCAGACACAGAGAC
This is a long non-coding RNA of Erinaceus europaeus (western European hedgehog), 203 nucleotides long. RefSeq lists it as uncharacterized. The record is from RefSeq and is a predicted model, not a curated record. Lineage: Eukaryota; Metazoa; Chordata; Mammalia; Eulipotyphla; Erinaceidae. The transcript has 3 exons.